This 288-nucleotide ribosomal RNA is filed under the name Triticum aestivum (bread wheat). RNAcentral's name for it is "partial small subunit ribosomal RNA". Lineage: Eukaryota; Viridiplantae; Streptophyta; Magnoliopsida; Poales; Poaceae. The record is from RNAcentral.
AUGGUAAAGAAAGCAUUGCAUUAUGCGCAAGGCACAAAGGACUACAUGCUAAUAUACAAGAGAAGUGAUUCCCUAGAGAUAAAAGGGUAUUCAGACGCAGACUUUGCGGGGGACAAAGAUGAUAGAAAAUCCACGUCGGGAUACGUAUUCACCCUCGCUAGGGGAGCUAUUUCCUGGAAAACCUCCAAACAGUCGAUAGUUGCAUCAUCCAUGAUGUAUGCAGAAUUCAUAGCAUGCUUCGAAGCCACGGGGCAGGCGAUAUGGCUAAAAAAUUUGUACCCGGCUUGA